UACUGUUUUCUUUUUAUUUAU
This 21-nucleotide non-coding RNA is filed under the name Caenorhabditis elegans. Lineage: Eukaryota; Metazoa; Nematoda; Chromadorea; Rhabditida; Rhabditidae. The record is from RNAcentral.